Penaeus monodon (black tiger shrimp) is the source of this 68-nucleotide non-coding RNA. NCBI's taxonomy places the organism in Eukaryota, Metazoa, Arthropoda, Malacostraca, Decapoda, Penaeidae. The record is from the annotation of a RefSeq genome assembly.
GGCUUUGUAGUGGAAAUCAAACAAGACGUCAGACUGCAAUUCUGAAGAUGCGUGAAACGCCAGAGCUU